CCAUGUCUGACUGUUAGCCUCUGUCUGACUGCUGCCCACCUGCAUCUGACUGUUGCUAGCCCACGUCCAACUGUUGCCUGCCCAUGUCCAACUGUUGUCAGCCUCUGACUGUUGCUAGCCCAUGUCCGACUGUUGUGUGCCCAUGUCUGACUGUUGCCAGCCCAUGUCUGACUGUUGCCCGCCUGCAUCCGACUGUUGCCUGCCCAUGGCCUGCGUCCAGCUGUUGUUGUCCUCCCGCAUCCAGCUGUUGUUGUCCUCCCGCAUCCAGCUGUUGUCCUCCCGCAUCCAGCUGUUGUUGUCCUCCCGCAUCCAGCUGUUGUUGUCCUCCCA
This 330-nucleotide long non-coding RNA is filed under the name Numida meleagris (helmeted guineafowl). RNAcentral describes it as "lncRNA (ENSNMEG00000003046.1)". The record is from RNAcentral. Lineage: Eukaryota; Metazoa; Chordata; Aves; Galliformes; Numididae.